Long non-coding RNA from Ixodes scapularis (black-legged tick), 422 nucleotides. RefSeq lists it as uncharacterized. The record is from RefSeq and is a predicted model, not a curated record. NCBI's taxonomy places the organism in Eukaryota, Metazoa, Arthropoda, Arachnida, Ixodida, Ixodidae. The transcript is spliced from 3 exons.
UUGGAGUCUCGGACACAUUACUUACAGUGAACACUGAGGGUGAUGACCUUGUACUUGACAGCCGAAAGGAGCGCAGUUGCCAGGAAACAAAUGGCUUAGAUUCUGCCUGGGCAUUGCACUUGAGGAGGAAGUCUUCUCCCUCUGAACCAGACUGCUUGUCAGGGGUCCCUUCAAAAGUGAUGGCUCCUGAAAGAAAAAGGGAUGGUGCGAGACAAUUUACUGUUGUGCACCAGCCACCAGCCCCAAUGUAAAUUAGAUGUUGCAAUAACCAGUAGUUUUUGCCCUCAGUUCAGGUCCUCUUAGCAUGUUUGAUAUGAGUGAAGAUAGUCUGGACCUAUUAGAGGAAGCCCGAAGGGCAUGUUUCAUGCUAGAAUAGAAUAUCCCCUAAAACUUCAAAACAAAAUAGAUUUUUUUUAGUUCAA